ACGCCCGGCCCCAUUCCGAACCCGGAAGCUAAGCCCUCCAGCGCCAAUGGUACUGCACCCUAAUCAGUGUGGGAGAGUAGGACACCGCCGAAC
Molecule: ribosomal RNA, 93 nt
Filed under: Gordonia sp. (in: high G+C Gram-positive bacteria)
Lineage: Bacteria; Bacillati; Actinomycetota; Actinomycetes; Mycobacteriales; Gordoniaceae
Source: RNAcentral